GGCAUGUAACUCAGCUGGUUAGAGUACCUCUCUGAUAAGGAGGAAGUCGCUGGUUCAAAUCCAGCCAUGCCC
Molecule: transfer RNA, 72 nt
Filed under: bovine gut metagenome
Rfam family: tRNA
About the family: Transfer RNA (tRNA) molecules are approximately 80 nucleotides in length. Their secondary structure includes four short double-helical elements and three loops (D, anti-codon, and T loops). Further hydrogen bonds mediate the characteristic L-shaped molecular structure. tRNAs have two regions of fundamental functional importance: the anti-codon, which is responsible for specific mRNA codon recognition, and the 3' end, to which the tRNAs corresponding amino acid is attached (by aminoacyl-tRNA synthetases). tRNAs cope with the degeneracy of the genetic code in two manners: having more than one tRNA (with a specific anti-codon) for a particular amino acid; and 'wobble' base-pairing, i.e. permitting non-standard base-pairing at the 3rd anti-codon position.
Source: RNAcentral